Salmonella enterica subsp. enterica serovar Macclesfield is the source of this 60-nucleotide non-coding RNA. Lineage: Bacteria; Pseudomonadati; Pseudomonadota; Gammaproteobacteria; Enterobacterales; Enterobacteriaceae. The record is from Rfam.
GGGUCUGAUAUACGUUUCAUCGUAAAAGGUUGGUGUCAUUCGCCAACCUUUUUUGUUAGG